Molecule: ribosomal RNA, 253 nt
Filed under: uncultured bacterium
Lineage: Bacteria
Description: partial 16S ribosomal RNA
Rfam family: Bacterial small subunit ribosomal RNA
Source: RNAcentral
UACGUAGGGGGCUAGCGUUGUCCGGAAUCAUUGGGCGUAAAGCGCGUGUAGGCGGUCCGGUAAGUCCGCUGUGAAAGUCGAGGGCUCAACCCUCGAAUGCCGGUGGAUACUGUCGGGCUUGAGUACGGGAGAGGCGAGUGGAAUUCCUGGUGUAGCGGUGAAAUGCGCAGAUAUCAGGAGGAACACCGAUUGCGAAGGCAGCUCGCUGGAACGUUACUGACACUGAGGCGCGAAAGCGUGGGGAGCGAACAGG